ACGGAAGGCAGCAGUGGGGAAUAUUGCACAAUGGGCGAAAGCCUGAUGCAGCGACGCCGCGUGAGUGAAGAAGUAUCUCGGUAUGUAAAGCUCUAUCAGCAGGGAAGAAAAUGACGGUACCUGACUAAGAAGCCCCGGCUAACUACGUGCCAGCAGCCGCGGUAAUACGUAGGGGGCAAGCGUUAUCCGGAUUUACUGGGUGUAAAGGGAGCGUAGACGGUUUGGCAAGUCUGAAGUGAAAUGCGGGGGCUCAACUCCUGAACUGCUUUGGAAACUGUCGAACUAGAGUGCAGGAGAGGUAAGUGGAAUUCCUAGUGUAGCGGUGAAAUGCGUAGAUAUUAGGAGGAACACCAGUGGCGAAGGCGGCUUUCUGGACUGUAACUGACACUGAGGCACGAAAGCGUGGGGAGCAAACAGGAUUAGAUACCCUGGUA
RNAcentral lists this ribosomal RNA (434 nucleotides) under uncultured Clostridium sp. Its description in RNAcentral is "partial 16S ribosomal RNA". It matches the Rfam family "Bacterial small subunit ribosomal RNA", at positions 341 to 792 of the family's 1533-position model. RNAcentral also lists the same sequence under 1 other name. The record is from RNAcentral. Lineage: Bacteria; Bacillati; Bacillota; Clostridia; Eubacteriales; Clostridiaceae.